RNAcentral lists this ribosomal RNA (460 nucleotides) under uncultured bacterium. RNAcentral describes it as "partial 16S ribosomal RNA". It matches the Rfam family "Bacterial small subunit ribosomal RNA", at positions 338 to 795 of the family's 1533-position model. The record is from RNAcentral.
CCUACGGGUGACUGCAGUGAGGAAUAUUGGUCAAUGGACGAGAGUCUGAACCAGCCAAGUAGCGUGAAGGAUGACUGCCCUAUGGGUUGUAAACUUCUUUUAUAAAGGAAUAAAACGAGGCACGUGUGCCUUUUUGCAUGUACUUUAUGAAUAAGGAUCGGCUACCUCCGUGCCAGCAGCCGCGGUAAUACGGAGGAUCCGAGCGUUAUCCGGAUUUAUUGGGUUUAAAGGGAGCGUAGAUGGGUUGUUAAGUCAGUUGUGAAAGUUUGCGGCUCAACCGUAAAAUUGCAAUUGAUACUGGCAGUCGUGAGUACAGUUGAGGUAGGCGGAAUUCGUGGUGUAGCGGUGAAAUGCUUAGAUAUCACGAAGAACCCCGAUUGCGAAGGCAGCUUACUAAACUGUGACUGACAUUGAUGCUCGAAAGUGUGGGUAUCAAACAGGAUUAGAUACCCUUGUAGUC